RNAcentral lists this non-coding RNA (183 nucleotides) under Magnetococcales bacterium. RNAcentral's name for it is "6S RNA". It matches the Rfam family "6S / SsrS RNA". Rfam says of the family: E. coli 6S RNA was the first non coding RNA to be sequenced, but its function was unknown until recently. It consists of 184 nucleotides that fold into an extended hairpin structure with a large single-stranded internal bulge. The record is from RNAcentral. Lineage: Bacteria; Pseudomonadati; Pseudomonadota; Magnetococcia; Magnetococcales.
AGUCCCCUGCGGUGUUUGUCAGGAUCACUUUCCUCCUGAGCCGAUACUUCACGAGCCCAGGAACCUUGCUCUGACCAUGGAGUGUAAGCCCGCUUGCCGGGUUUCCAGAAGUGGUUACCCAGGGGUCCGCCUUUGUUAACUGGGUUCAAGAGGAUGUCAUCCAACGGCACAGGCGGGGGAUUC